Delphinapterus leucas (beluga whale) is the source of this 641-nucleotide long non-coding RNA. RefSeq lists it as uncharacterized. The record is from RefSeq and is a predicted model, not a curated record. NCBI's taxonomy places the organism in Eukaryota, Metazoa, Chordata, Mammalia, Artiodactyla, Monodontidae.
UCAAAUUAAGAUUUUAAGAUUAACUGAGGCAAACAAACGGUUAAAGAAAGAGGACAAUGAAGAGAUGUAUGGUGAGACGUAUAUAUUGUGAAAUACUUGGACGUACCUCCUCCUUUGGCUGUGUGAAUACUAUAAACCUGACACAAGAAAAAUUUUUGGAGAAGAGAAUUGGCAUCUGUGUAUGAUUUCCCAUUUCUCUGGAGAAGAAAUAUAAGAGCAGGGAAUUCCUGAGUAACAACUCUCAGAGAAGAAUCAACUCAUUGCAAUUGCAUCUUAUCCACUGACCAGUGACUCAGAAGACAGUGGAGUGGCCUGUCUGAGUCACGUGGACACCCCCAAAUGUAACGUGGAGUCUACACACUUGCAUUCCACGGACUGACAAGAACUUGCUGCAAAACAAAAUCCGGAUGCAAAUACCACGAAUGGGGAACCUGAGCCUGAGGCAGAAACAACAAACUCCCACUACAUAAUUUAUGUUGGUUGUUUCUAUAAGGUGAGCACCCUGAGCUUUCUCAUUUGUGAAAUGGGAAGAAUAACAAUAUCUAUUCAAGUGUUAUUAUGAGGAUUUGGUGAGACAAUGUGUGUAAAAGCACUAUGGUGGUCCCAUGGGGGCUCGGUGGAAGGGAGCCCUUUGACCCUAA